AAACGUUGUUCGGAUUUACUGGGCGUAAAGCGCACGUAGGCGGAUCGUUAAGUUGGGGGUGAAAUCCUGGAGCUCAACUCCAGAACUGCCUUCAAUACUGGCGAUCUAGAGUCCGGAAGAGGUGAGUGGAACUCCUAGUGUAGAGGUGGAAUUCGUAGAUAUUAGGAAGAACACCAGUGGCGAAGGCGGCUCACUGGUCCGGUACUGACGCUGAGGUGCGAAAGCGUGGGGAGCAAACAGG
Molecule: ribosomal RNA, 241 nt
Filed under: uncultured bacterium
Lineage: Bacteria
Description: partial 16S ribosomal RNA
Rfam family: Bacterial small subunit ribosomal RNA
Source: RNAcentral